This 72-nucleotide transfer RNA is filed under the name Camelus bactrianus (Bactrian camel). It matches the Rfam family "tRNA". From Rfam's summary of the family: Transfer RNA (tRNA) molecules are approximately 80 nucleotides in length. Their secondary structure includes four short double-helical elements and three loops (D, anti-codon, and T loops). The record is from Rfam by way of RNAcentral. RNAcentral also lists the same sequence under 1 other name. Lineage: Eukaryota; Metazoa; Chordata; Mammalia; Artiodactyla; Camelidae.
GAGGGUGUAGCUCAGUGGUAGAGCGUGUGCUUAGCAUGCACAAGGUCCUGGGUUCAAUCCGCAGUAUCUCUG